UUUAUGGAGAGUUUGAUCCUGGCUCAGGAUGAACGCUGGCGGCGUGCCUAAUACAUGCAAGUCGAGCGAACGGACGAGAAGCUUGCUUCUCUGAUGUUAGCGGCGGACGGGUGAGUAACACGUGGAUAACCUACCUAUAAGACUGGGAUAACUUCGGGAAACCGGAGCUAAUACCGGAUAAUAUUUUGAACCGCAUGGUUCAAAAGUGAAAGACGGUCUUGCUGUCACUUAUAGAUGGAUCCGCGCUGCAUUAGCUAGUUGGUAAGGUAACGGCUUACCAAGGCAACGAUGCAUAGCCGACCUGAGAGGGUGAUCGGCCACACUGGAACUGAGACACGGUCCAGACUCCUACGGGAGGCAGCAGUAGGGAAUCUUCCGCAAUGGGCGAAAGCCUGACGGAGCAACGCCGCGUGAGUGAUGAAGGUCUUCGGAUCGUAAAACUCUGUUAUUAGGGAAGAACAUAUGUGUAAGUAACUGUGCACAUCUUGACGGUACCUAAUCAGAAAGCCACGGCUAACUACGUGCCAGCAGCCGCGGUAAUACGUAGGUGGCAAGCGUUAUCCGGAAUUAUUGGGCGUAAAGCGCGCGUAGGCGGUUUUUUAAGUCUGAUGUGAAAGCCCACGGCUCAACCGUGGAGGGUCAUUGGAAACUGGAAAACUUGAGUGCAGAAGAGGAAAGUGGAAUUCCAUGUGUAGCGGUGAAAUGCGCAGAGAUAUGGAGGAACACCAGUGGCGAAGGCGACUUUCUGGUCUGUAACUGACGCUGAUGUGCGAAAGCGUGGGGAUCAAACAGGAUUAGAUACCCUGGUAGUCCACGCCGUAAACGAUGAGUGCUAAGUGUUAGGGGGUUUCCGCCCCUUAGUGCUGCAGCUAACGCAUUAAGCACUCCGCCUGGGGAGUACGACCGCAAGGUUGAAACUCAAAGGAAUUGACGGGGACCCGCACAAGCGGUGGAGCAUGUGGUUUAAUUCGAAGCAACGCGAAGAACCUUACCAAAUCUUGACAUCCUUUGACAACUCUAGAGAUAGAGCCUUCCCCUUCGGGGGACAAAGUGACAGGUGGUGCAUGGUUGUCGUCAGCUCGUGUCGUGAGAUGUUGGGUUAAGUCCCGCAACGAGCGCAACCCUUAAGCUUAGUUGCCAUCAUUAAGUUGGGCACUCUAAGUUGACUGCCGGUGACAAACCGGAGGAAGGUGGGGAUGACGUCAAAUCAUCAUGCCCCUUAUGAUUUGGGCUACACACGUGCUACAAUGGACAAUACAAAGGGCAGCGAAACCGCGAGGUC
Molecule: ribosomal RNA, 1282 nt
Filed under: Staphylococcus aureus
Lineage: Bacteria; Bacillati; Bacillota; Bacilli; Caryophanales; Staphylococcaceae
Description: bacterial SSU rRNA
Rfam family: Bacterial small subunit ribosomal RNA
Source: RNAcentral